GAAUACCAACGGCUCUGAUGGCGG
This 24-nucleotide non-coding RNA is filed under the name Cricetulus griseus (Chinese hamster). Lineage: Eukaryota; Metazoa; Chordata; Mammalia; Rodentia; Cricetidae. The record is from RNAcentral.